This 460-nucleotide ribosomal RNA is filed under the name uncultured bacterium. Its description in RNAcentral is "partial 16S ribosomal RNA". It matches the Rfam family "Bacterial small subunit ribosomal RNA", at positions 338 to 795 of the family's 1533-position model. The record is from RNAcentral.
CCUACGGGAGGCAGCAGUGAGGAAUAUUGGUCAAUGGACGAGAGUCUGAACCAGCCAAGUAGCGUGAAGGAUGACUGCCCUAUGGGUUGUAAACUUCUUUUAUAUGGGAAUAAAAUGUUCCACGUGUGGGAUUUUGUAUGUACCAUAUGAAUAAGGAUCGGCUAACUCCGUGCCAGCAGCCGCGGUAAUACGGAGGAUCCGAGCGUUAUCCGGAUUUAUUGGGUUUAAAGGGAGCGUAGGUGGAUUGUUAAGUCAGUUGUGAAAGUUUGCGGCUAAACCGUAAAAUUGCAGUUGAAACUGGCAGUCUUGAGUACAGUAGAGGUGGGCGGAAUUCGUGGUGUAGCGGUGAAAUGCUUAGAUAUUACGAAGAACUCCGAUUGCGAAGGCAGCUUACUGGACUGCAACUGACACUGAGGCUCGAAAGUGUGGGUAUCAAACAGGAUUAGAUACCCCAGUAGUC